RNAcentral lists this transfer RNA (72 nucleotides) under Verrucomicrobiota bacterium. RNAcentral's name for it is "Verrucomicrobia bacterium tRNA-Lys". It matches the Rfam family "tRNA". Rfam says of the family: Transfer RNA (tRNA) molecules are approximately 80 nucleotides in length. Their secondary structure includes four short double-helical elements and three loops (D, anti-codon, and T loops). Lineage: Bacteria; Pseudomonadati; Verrucomicrobiota. The record is from RNAcentral.
GGGUCGAUAGCUCAAUGGUAGAGCAGUUGCCUUUUAAGCAAUUGGUUCGGGGUUCGAGCCCCCGUCGACCCA